This 497-nucleotide ribosomal RNA is filed under the name uncultured bacterium. RNAcentral's name for it is "partial 16S ribosomal RNA". It matches the Rfam family "Bacterial small subunit ribosomal RNA", at positions 28 to 507 of the family's 1533-position model. The record is from RNAcentral.
GAUGAACGCUGGCGGCGUGCCUAAUACAUGCAAGUCGAGCGAACAGACGAGGAGCUUGCUCCUCUGAGGUUAGCGGCGGACGGGUGAGUAACACGUGGAUAACCUACCUAUAAGACUGGGAUAACUUCGGGAAACCGGAGCUAAUACCGGAUAAUAUAUUGAACCGCAUGGUUCAAUAGUGAAAGACGGUUUUGCUGUCACUUAUAGAUGGAUCCGCGCCGCAUUAGCUAGUUGGUAAGGUAACGGCUUACCAAGGCGACGAUGCGUAGCCGACCUGAGAGGGUGAUCGGCCACACUGGAACUGAGACACGGUCCAGACUCCUACGGGAGGCAGCAGUAGGGAAUCUUCCGCAAUGGGCGAAAGCCUGACGGAGCAACGCCGCGUGAGUGAUGAAGGUCUUCGGAUCGUAAAACUCUGUUAUUGGGGAAGAACAAAUGUGUAAGUAACUAUGCACGUCUUGACGGUACCUAAUCAGAAAGCCACGGCUAACUACGUG